RNAcentral lists this small RNA (124 nucleotides) under Marmota monax (woodchuck). Lineage: Eukaryota; Metazoa; Chordata; Mammalia; Rodentia; Sciuridae. The record is from RNAcentral.
GCAGGGCGUAGUGGCGCACACCUGUAAUCCCAGUGGCUUGGGAGGCUGAGGCAGGAGGAUCGUGAGUUCAAAGCCACCUCAGCAACAGCGAGGCAAUAAGCAACUCAGUGAGACCCUGUCUCUA